RNAcentral lists this ribosomal RNA (253 nucleotides) under uncultured bacterium. RNAcentral's name for it is "partial 16S ribosomal RNA". It matches the Rfam family "Bacterial small subunit ribosomal RNA", at positions 524 to 776 of the family's 1533-position model. The record is from RNAcentral.
UACGGGGGGGGCAAGCGUUGUUCGGAAUUACUGGGCGUAAAGGGCUCGUAGGUGGCCAACUAAGUCACACGUGAAAUCCCUCGGCUUAACCGGGGAACUGCGUGUGAUACUGGAUGGCUUGAGUUUGGGAGAGGGAUGCGGAAUUCCAGGUGUAGCGGUGAAAUGCGUAGAUAUCUGGAGGAACACCGGUGGCGAAGGCGGCAUCCUGGACCGACACUGACACUGAGGAGCGAAAGCCAGGGGAGCAAACGGG